This 253-nucleotide ribosomal RNA is filed under the name uncultured Nitrososphaera sp. RNAcentral's name for it is "partial 16S ribosomal RNA". It matches the Rfam family "Archaeal small subunit ribosomal RNA", at positions 474 to 727 of the family's 1478-position model. Lineage: Archaea; Thermoproteati; Nitrososphaerota; Nitrososphaeria; Nitrososphaerales; Nitrososphaeraceae. The record is from RNAcentral.
UACCAGCACCCCGAGUGGUCGGGACGAUUAUUGGGCCUAAAGCAUCCGUAGCCGGUUUUACAAGUCCUCCGUUAAAUCCAACUGCUCAACAGAUGGGCCGCGGAGGAUACUAUAAGACUAGGAGGCAGGAGAGGCAAGCGGUACUCAGUGGGUAGGGGUAAAAUCCGUUGAUCCAUUGAAGACCACCAGUGGCGAAGGCGGCUUGCCAGAAUGCGCUCGACGGUGAGGGAUGAAAGCUGGGGGAGCAAACCGG